GCUGCCACCCCCAUUCCAGCCAUCUCCUGCCUGUUACUUCUGCACUACUGUCCUGCAGUGCCUUGGGGAAUCCCUCUGUGGUGGUGGCCAAGGGGACAGGCAGUGACAGACCUGCUGGGAUUCCUGAGAUUACAAUUUUCCUGAGGUACCUCUGAACUGAACCCCUGGUGCCGACAUCUGCCUGGCACCAGCUGCUCACGGUGAUGGACGGGGACUGGUGGGGACAGUGGCACCAUGUCUGAGUGUUCUCCUCUGUUUGUCACUGUGACUCCAGCAGCCCAGGGCCACAGGACAGCAGAAGAAGUGCCAGUGGUUGGUGGGUUUGGGGUGAUUUUUAUAAAAAGAAUACAACACAAAGCAGGUUGCAGCUCCGCGUUUGGGUGUGGGUUAUGUCGCCAGCCUCCUUCUGGAUGUUUUGUUUGCACUAUGGUGCUGGGAAGCAGAUAAGUUCAAACAUUGCAGAAGAGAAGCAGAGCAGAGCUGGGGGACAAGACAAAUUUGUGGCUGAGGAGUUCACGGGCCCUGCAGCCACUGUGGGAUGUGCUGUGGUCAGCUCGGCCCUGGGACCGGCCUGCACUGCCGAGACACGAGCGAUGGAGAGGACAGGCUGCAGCACAAGGCCUGCCAAGGAAGAUCACCUUGGAAAUCCCCCAGCGAUGGCUGGCUCCUGUUUUCCACCUGGGAUGUUUUUCCUAUGGCCUGUCCAGCUGGGUCAGACCCCCAGGUGCUCAGCAGUCACAUUCCUGUCCUUGCCAGCUGCUGCUCCCUGACAAAGCUGAACCCACCUCUGAAAGUGCCUGAUGCCCUCGGACCUCACACCUGCCUGGCUCCCCUGGGCACCUGCAGCCCCCUGCCCCCACACCUGCUCUGCUCCUGUCAUGGCUCUGCAGACCUGGGAUUCCAGCUAUGCUCUUUCCCUUCAUUUGUCCCGAAUAUUUUGUCCCAACUAUUUUUUUCCAAAGCCAGCAGAUGAGUGUUCUGGAGCCAAGACCAAGGCCAGGGUCUAUGGGACCUGUGGGACCAUGGGACUCCUCUCUGAAUCCUGUCCAUGGAGAGGUGGCUGUGGGAACUGGCUGCUGCCACCAGAGCUCUUUGGGGGGCUGCAAGGGAAGCACCCCUGCUCUUGGAAGCAGCACACACAGCUGCUACUGAUGGCAGUGGCUGAUUGCAGCCCAGGAGGACACCACUGGGCACUCACUGUCCCAUGUACAUGGCCCUGUAUGCACCACACCACCCACACACCAUCCCUUACACACCACCCACACCCCAUGCCAUGUGCACCACCCACACCCCAUCCCUUACACACCACCCACACACCCCAUCCCAUGUGCACCACCCCACACAUCAUCCCUUACACACCACCCACACACCCUAUCCCAUGUGCACCACCCACACCCCAUCCCUUACACACCACCCACACCCCAUCCCAUGGGCACUGCCCCACACACCCAGCCUGUCCCCAGUACACACACAGCAGCCAAGCCUUUGUGCUCUGUGGUGUUUUAGUUCCCAUCUUCCUGCUCAUGCUGAGUUCAUCAAAACCACCUGCCCAGACAGGCUGUCAGUGA
Long non-coding RNA from Junco hyemalis (dark-eyed junco), 1568 nucleotides. Lineage: Eukaryota; Metazoa; Chordata; Aves; Passeriformes; Passerellidae. The record is from Ensembl.